ACACUGGGAUGCCUGGUGGUGGUGGUGGUUAGGUGUAGAUUUCUCCCCAUUCCUUAGUGCCUCACAAGGGUGCUGUAAAACGUUUGUCGAGUGUGUUUUAUCAACAGUCUCAGAAGGGGUGGUAAAAAAAAAUACUCGUUUGUUUCAUACAGAGAGAAAUUGCAUUACAAAGUGAUGACUUACAAAAUCACCGAAAGGAAAUCAAUGGUGAGGUGGAGCCAAACCUCUGCUGUAGAAUUUCUGGAUUCAGAUAACACAGAGCUCUCUCCAUCAAGCAUUUGUGUGCAGAAGCUAAGCUCCAGGCCCAGGGAGAGAGCUUGAAGCAAAGACAUAAUAAAACAGUAACAGCUGCUACCGAAGCUGUGUCAUGCAACUUUGCUUAGCCCUUUACUGUAUGGUCUCAUUUA
This 407-nucleotide long non-coding RNA is filed under the name Homo sapiens (human). Its description in RNAcentral is "non-protein coding lnc-PFDN4-9:1". Lineage: Eukaryota; Metazoa; Chordata; Mammalia; Primates; Hominidae. The record is from RNAcentral.